RNAcentral lists this ribosomal RNA (274 nucleotides) under uncultured bacterium. RNAcentral describes it as "partial 16S ribosomal RNA". It matches the Rfam family "Bacterial small subunit ribosomal RNA", at positions 523 to 796 of the family's 1533-position model. The record is from RNAcentral.
AUACGGAGGGUGCAAGCGUUAUUCGGAAUCACUGGGCGUAAAGGACGCGUAGGCGGGUUGGCAAGUCAGAUGUGAAAUCCUACAGCUUAACUGUAGAACUGCAUUUGAAACUGCUAACCUAGAGUACGGGAGGGGGAGAUGGAAUUAGUGGUGUAGGGGUAAAAUCCGUAGAUAUCACUAGGAAUACCGAAAGCGAAGGCGAUCUCCUGGAACAUAACUGACGCUAAGCCGUGAAAGCGUGGGGAGCAAACAGGAUUAGAAACCCCAGUAGUCC